Molecule: ribosomal RNA, 497 nt
Filed under: uncultured bacterium
Lineage: Bacteria
Description: partial 16S ribosomal RNA
Rfam family: Bacterial small subunit ribosomal RNA
Source: RNAcentral
GAUGAACGCUGGCGGCGUGCCUAAUACAUGCAAGUCGAGCGAACAGACGAGGAGCUUGCUCCUCUGACGUUAGCGGCGGACGGGUGAGUAACACGUGGAUAACCUACCUAUAAGACUGGGAUAACUUCGGGAAACCGGAGCUAAUACCGGAUAAUAUAUUUAACCGCAUGGUUCAAUAGUGAAAGACGGUUUUGCUGUCACUUAUAGAUUGAUCCGCGCCGCAUUAGCUAGUUGGUAAGGUAACGGCUUACCAAGGCAACGAUGCGUAGCCGACCUGAGAGGGUGAUCGGCUACACUGGACCUGAGACACGGUCAAGACUCCUUCGGUAAGCAGCAGUAGGUAAUUUUGCGCAAAGGGUGAAAGCCUGACGGAGCACCGCCGCGUAAGAGGUGAAGGUCUUCGGAUCGUAAAACUCUGUUAUUAGGGAAGAAAAAAUAUGUAAGUACGUAUGCACGUAUUGACGGUAACUAAUCAGAAAGCCACGGCUAACUACGUA